Molecule: unclassified non-coding RNA, 299 nt
Filed under: plant metagenome
Description: partial contains 5.8S ribosomal RNA, internal transcribed spacer 2, and large subunit ribosomal RNA
Rfam family: 5.8S ribosomal RNA (bases 1-105)
Source: RNAcentral
GAAAUGCGAUAAGUAAUGUGAAUUGCAGAAUUCAGUGAAUCAUCGAAUCUUUAAACGCACAUUGCGCCCCCUGGUAUUCCGGGGGGCAUGCCUGUUCGAGCGUCAUUUCACCACUCAAGCCUCGCUUGGUAUUGGGCGACGCGGUCCGCCGCGCGCCUCAAAUCGACCGGCUGGGUCUUUCGUCCCCUCAGCGUUGUGGAAACUAUUCGCUAAAGGGUGCCGCGGGAGGCCACGCCGUAAAACAACCCCAUUUCUAAGGUUGACCUCGGAUCAGGUAGGGAUACCCGCUGAACUUAAGC